UGCACUUGGAGAAGGACGCAUUCCAAUCCCGCAUAUAUGAAAAGUUUAAUAUUUUAGACAGCUAGAUGAAAUGCUGGGGUCUUGGUGCAUUUUGCUUUGGCGGUCCAGGCUUUGAACAUCUUAGGGAAAUGUUUGGAAAUGAAUUUUAUUUUCACAACUGUGAUACAAUUACAAGGCGGGGAUGUUUCAGCCUUCUCAACGAGGUGCCCUUGGUGGUGGUGGUCUGUAAAUGGCUACAGAACUGACAGAGAGCUCUGCAAGCAUUUUCUUCGGUUCUGAUUUUUAGUUUUAUUUGUUUUAACAGAGGGAUAAAACCCAGCAUUGUGCAUGUCCUUGCUCUGUGGGUUGGGGAUGUAUCGUUGUUGUUGUCGUUGUUUUCCUGGGAAGUAAAACAGGGUAGGAUAUUGGUAAUAAGGGCAAGUGGAUUUAUUGCAGAGCGAGUUGUAUGCUGUUUGACAGAAAAAGCUUAGCUUUGACUUCCCAGGGGGGAAUGGAGGACUUUGGUGCAUGCCGCAAAAGGGGUGUUCCCUCUUAGUCCUGCGAGCGCAGCGAGUGUCCUGUCUUCCUACUAUUUUCCUUAGUGCAGAUCAGAGCCACACGGUAGUUCUGUGGCCAAGGCCUCCCUGUAGCCAGGGCUUGGGCCUGUCCUUGCGUGGCCGCCUGUCCUGCUGGCGGCGGUGACAGCCCCUUACUCGGGGUGUGUGUCCCAAGCUUCGGAGCCCUCUGUCCCUGAGCAGCCCGCCCGCCCUGUAAUCAGGUGUGGGGAGGCUGCAGCGUUGCAGCCGGCUGCUUUAGCCAUCCAGCUGGUGGGAGUGACCCCUCCCUGUCCCGUCAGAGGGUGCAGGUUGAGGUGCUGUUUGUGUGUGGGGUGACCUCCCGCUCGGUGGGUCGAGGUAGCUCCCUGGGCUUCCAAAGACGAGACGUUGGUGAUGUUCUGGUGCUGCCGGGCGGGCCAGCCUGUAACUCAGGCGUUGGCGGGAGCCUCGUGCUCCGCGGGGCUUCUUGAAGAGGGUGAGGUGUGGGGGUACCGUCCUGUAGGCAGGGCUGUGUGUGCCCCCCGUGUGUGCUUGGUGAGCUGCGUUCUGAGAGACCCCCUGUACUCAGGUGGGAAUGUGGCCCCGGCCUUUCAGAGGCGCGGGGCCGUGAGAUGCGGGGUGGGGCUUGCCGCCCUCCCUGGAAUCGGGGCUGGGAUCCCGACUGCGGCCUUUGGCCGUGCCGCCCCGCUGCCUGGCUGCUGAGAGUUGCUCCUGCCGCUGGGGGGGAAACCGAGCUCUGUGGCUCCAGGGGUGUUGUCCACCCGCCUGUAAUCAGGGUCUGGGUGCGUGAGCGUUUGUGCUCUGCUGGCAGCCUGUGUGGGGUGACCGCCCCGCUAGCGGGGUGUGGGUCGAGGUGCCCCGGACUGGGAGAGAAGGAGCCUCCCUCGGCCGUAGGGAUGGGGGCUGCCCUGUAAGUCAGGGAGCAUCUGUGUCCCCGGAGUCCCAGGCCCUUUUCGAUGGCGGCAGUGGCCGGGGGUCCCCUGUAAGCAGGGAAGCUGACUCUUUGGCUGCUGCUUUUUGUGUGCCCAGCCCCAUUUGCCCAGUCUGCCCGCCUCUGUGAUCCCCCGCGGCACUGGCUGGAAGUCUGCCGCGUGUCAGUGAGGUGCUGCUGCUGAAGGAAGAAGAAGAAGCAGCGGCGUGGGGACCUGGGAGGCAGGAGCAAGCAAGAAGAGGAAGCGGAAGCGUGCAGAUGUGGGGGGGAAGGAGAGAGGCUCCCUGGGCAAAGCACCUGUCCCGUUAGCAGGGGCACAGUCACGUUUGAGUUGAGAGCUGCCGGCGCCUUUGGUGACCAGGCUGGCGUUGUGCUGGGCGACCUCCCCGUAAGCGGGGCUCGGGUCUUUGCUGUAGUUGGCCUUUUGCCUUGCUGCUCCUUUGGCUGCCUGGGGAGCGUGGCCCCCUGUAACGGAGGGCGAGAGCCACCUCUCCGCACCUGAGUGGGAAAUGGAGCUCGCCGGACCCCGAGGCCACCCUGUAAGCAGGGUAGUGCCGUUUCCCUGCCCCUCUUCCUCCCCCGGCCCCUCGGCAUCGUUGCCUGAUGGUGGCUUGUCAAUGCGACGGCCCCGUACUCGGGGGUGUGUGUCCCAAGCUUCGGAGGCCCUCUGUCCUGAGCAGCCCGCCCGCCCUGUAAUCAGGUGUGGGGAGGCUGCAGCGUUGCAGCCGGCUGCUUUAGCCAUCCAGCUGGUGGGAGUGACCCCUCCCUGUCCCGUCAGAGGGUGCAGGUUGAGGUGCUGUUUGUGUGUGGGGUGACCUCCCCGCUCGGUGGGUCGAGGUAGCUCCCUGGGCUUCCAAAGACGAGACGUUGGUGAUGUUCUGGUGCUGCCGGGCGGGCCAGCCUGUAACUCAGGCGUUGGCGGGAGCCUCGUGCUCCGCGGGGCUUCUUGAAGAGGGUGAGGUGUGGGGGUACCGUCCUGUAGGCAGGGCUGUGUGUGCCCCCCGUGUGUGCUUGGUGAGCUGCGUUCUGAGAGACCCCCUGUACUCAGGUGGGAAUGUGGCCC
RNAcentral lists this long non-coding RNA (2530 nucleotides) under Gallus gallus (chicken). Lineage: Eukaryota; Metazoa; Chordata; Aves; Galliformes; Phasianidae. The record is from RNAcentral.